Long non-coding RNA from Helianthus annuus (common sunflower), 1261 nucleotides. RefSeq lists it as uncharacterized. The transcript is spliced from 8 exons. NCBI's taxonomy places the organism in Eukaryota, Viridiplantae, Streptophyta, Magnoliopsida, Asterales, Asteraceae. The record is from RefSeq and is a predicted model, not a curated record.
AUGUCAAACCCUCUAAACUGAACUAAAUCUGGUGUUCGCUCACGGUGUCCUUAAAUGGAUUAUUAAGACAGUCGUUACCUUUACCCUCCCCCAGCAGGCUACCACCUUUCAACGGCCGGAGAAAUCAAGAGCACCUAUCCGUUUUCGGUUAUACGAAGGGGGAGAGAGCCUACACCCCGCUCCGCCAGUCACCCCCCUUUCGAUCUUCUCUUUUCUCGUGAUAUUAUUGUUUCUAUAUACGUUCAGAUUCAAAAUUAGGGUUUUUACUUUUGUAAACUAUAGGAAUUCCUGAUGGCUUCGAAACGGAUCUUGAAAGAACUCAAGGAUCUCCAGAAGGAUCCUCCUACCUCUUGCAGUGCAGUUGAAAAGUCUGGGCUAUUGAAUUUAGGGUUAAGAUGUUUUGCAAAUUACAACUUCUUGACACUAACAAGGGUUAUGGGAUAUCAGACUCCAUGGCAACUUCAGAGGUGAUGGAUAUGGGACAUGAGCUUCGAGUGUUGAGGCUACAAUCCAAGAGAAGUCUGCAUUCUCCGUAAAAGUUCAGCAAGAGGUGCGAACAAAUCAGUUUGUGCACCCGAGCCAUAUGAUGUUGGGCGAAUUUUGCAAGUUGAUAUUAUAUCAAAUGCUCAAAAGUCAAAUGUGACGACAGUUUGUCCGAUACAGCCCGGAAGUUACUUGCAGUAUGGGUAAUAGGAAGUCUAGAGCAAAGCCGGCUCCUUUGAAGCGGAUGGACAAACUUGACACUGUAUUCAGUUGCCCCUUUUGCAACCAUGGAACUAGCGUUGAAUGUCGCAUUGAUGUGAAGAACUUGAUUGGUGAGGCAUCUUGCCGAAUUUGCUAGGAAAACUUCAGCAAUACUGUCACAGAUUUAGUGAAUGGAUCGAUGAAUGUGAACGUGUUAACACCGUUGAUGAUGACGGGGUCCCUGUUGAAGAUGAUGAAGUUGAUGUUGAUUGCAGAGCGCGUUAAACCCGUUCUGAAUGCUUGGAGAAAUCUGCUUCACUUAGCUGUGUGUCAUAAGCAGUCGGGGAAUUGUGCACCAACAAGACCACUAAAGCAUGGAUCGGUGCAUGUGGAAAUACCAUUGCCAGACAUCAAAAAGGCUGAGAUCUGCUGUGCAUAGCCCUAAACUCACCAAUUAAAGAGUUACUUAUAAACCGUUGUAAAGUAUACUCAUUCAUACCCAAAAUAGCGAUAUUUACAUGUGUUAAAAGGAUUGUUGAUUCAAGCUCAUACGAGAAAGAUGUUUUGGAGUCGCCAA